UCCCUGGUGGUCUAGUGGCUAAGAUGCCAUGCUUCCAGCUCAGGGGGCCCAGGUUCAAUCCCUGGCCAGGGAA
Bos taurus (domestic cattle) is the source of this 73-nucleotide non-coding RNA. The record is from Rfam. NCBI's taxonomy places the organism in Eukaryota, Metazoa, Chordata, Mammalia, Artiodactyla, Bovidae.